Molecule: RNase P RNA, 253 nt
Filed under: Phaeodactylibacter sp.
Lineage: Bacteria; Pseudomonadati; Bacteroidota; Saprospiria; Saprospirales; Haliscomenobacteraceae
Description: partial RNase P RNA component class A
Rfam family: Bacterial RNase P class A
About the family: Ribonuclease P (RNase P) is a ubiquitous endoribonuclease, found in archaea, bacteria and eukarya as well as chloroplasts and mitochondria. Its best characterised activity is the generation of mature 5'-ends of tRNAs by cleaving the 5'-leader elements of precursor-tRNAs. Cellular RNase Ps are ribonucleoproteins.
Source: RNAcentral
GGUAAGGGUGAAAACGUGCGGUAAGAGCGCACGCUUCUUCCUGGCAACAGGAGGAGGGGAUAAACCUUGUGGGUUGAAAUGCCAUGUACACCUCGGUGUGCCCCUUGGGGGCUCUUUAGGUUGCUCGCCUAAUACCUUUUGGGCCGAGGGGGGUAGGCAGAUAGAUCCAGGUGGUGACGCCUGGGCUAGAUAAAUGAUAGAGCAUCCCUGCUUGCAGGGUGGACAGAAUCCGGCUUAUAGGUUGGCAAUAGGC